RNAcentral lists this long non-coding RNA (711 nucleotides) under Oryza brachyantha (malo sina). RNAcentral describes it as "long non-coding RNA (OBRA_LNC002638)". The record is from RNAcentral. Lineage: Eukaryota; Viridiplantae; Streptophyta; Magnoliopsida; Poales; Poaceae.
UUCAAAAUUUAUUACUGGGAGUGCAUAUUUUUCUAUUUGGCACCCUUUUCUCCUCUUUUUCUUAUUUUAAAUUUUUUCCCCUGAAUUUUCCUUUUCGUAUAACAGGAAGGAACAAUGAAAAAAACAACUCCAGCAGCAGCAGCUUCAUUUUCAUGACUAUAUGCAUACAUGUGCCAUGCACUCGAGCAACAACAAUUUCAUCUUCACAAGAACAUACAGAGCAACGUUUUUUUAUGGUGGUGGGCAACCGGACAUAGCUCCUACAGCUCUGAGGUCGCAUGGUGUAGCCCGUCGUAGAGACGCCGGCGGCGGCGAGGUUCGUACCAGUCUAACCCCAAAUCUUGAGCCAACCUUGAGCGGGUGGGCAGGGUGCGACAGGUGGUGGUGGUCCGGCGCAGCGUGUCGGUUGGAGAUCACCGCGGAAUGACGACGGGGAUGGACGGCGCGCUGCCGUGAGGAGCGAGCCAGGAGGGAAGGGGAGGGGCGGAUUGAAUCUCUGUAUACCAAAGCAAAGGGCAAAACGGUAAUAGCAUGUGUGCAGUAAAGGGAAAAUUAGAGAAAAAGAAUUAAAAUAAGAAAAAGAAGAGAAAAGGGUACCAAAAAGAAAAAUAUGCACUCUCAGUGAUAAAUUUAUAAGUCAUGCGAAUUAAGUGUCAAAUUCUAAAACUGGUGCGAAUUCAGGAAAAUUCUCCACCCCCACCCUGUGCCGUG